GGAUUAACGCUGGCGGCAUGCCUAAUACAUGCAAGUCGAACGGAGGUGCUUGCACCUCAGUGGCGAACGGGUGAGUAACACGUAUCUAAUCUACCUUCUAGCGGGGGAUAACUUUUGGAAACGAAAGGUAAUACCGCAUGUGGAUGUUAUUAUCGCAUGAGAAAACAUUCAAAGAUCCGUUUGGAUCACUAGAAGAUGAGGAUGCGGCGUAUUAGCUAGUAGGCGGGGUAAAGGCCCACCUAGGCGAUGAUACGUAGCCGAACUGAGAGGUUGAUCGGCCACAUUGGGACUGAGAUACGGCCCAGACUCCUACGGGAGGCAGCAGUAGGGAAUUUUUCACAAUGGACGAAAGUCUGAUGAAGCAAUGCCGCGUGAGUGAUGACGGCCUUCGGGUUGUAAAGCUCUGUUGUAAGGGAAGAAAAAAUAGGAGAGGAAAUGCUCUUAUCUUGACGGUACCUUACCAGAAAGCCACGGCUAACUAUGUGCCAGCAGCCGCGGUAAUACAUAGGUGGCAAGCGUUAUCCGGAUUUAUUGGGCGUAUAGGGUGCGUAGGCGGUUUCGCAAGUUUGAGGUUAAAGCCCGGAGCUCAACUCCGGUUCGCCUUGAAAACUGCGGGACUAGAAUAUCAGAGAGGUAAGCGGAAUUCCAUGUGUAGCGGUAAAAUGCGUAGAUAUAUGGAAGAACACCAGUGGCGAAAGCGGCUUACUGGCUGAUUAUUGACGCUGAGGCACGAAAGCGUGGGGAGCAAAUAGGAUUAGAUACCCUAGUAGUCCACGCCGUAAACGUUGAGUACUAAGUAUUGGGGAUUACCUCAGUGCUGCAGCUAACGCAUUAAGUACUCCGCCUGAGUAGUAUGCUCGCAAGAGUGAAACUCAAAGGAAUUGACGGGGACCCGCACAAGUGGUGGAGCAUGUGGUUUAAUUCGAAGCAACACGAAGAACCUUACCAGGGCUUGACAUACAGUGCAAAGCUACAGAGAUGUAGUGGAGGUUAACAUUGAUACAGGUGGUGCAUGGUUGUCGUCAGUUCGUGCCGUGAGGUGUUGGGUUAAGUCCCGCAACGAACGCAACCCUUGUCGUUAGUUACUAACAUUAAGUUGAGGACUCUAACGAGACUGCUAGUGUAAGCUAGAGGAAGGUGGGGAUGACGUCAAAUCAUCAUGCCCCUUAUGUCCUGGGCUACACACGUGCUACAAUGGCCGAUACAAAGAGUCGCAAUCUCGCGAGGGGGAGCUAAUCUCAAAAAGUCGGUCUCAGUUCGGAUUGAAGUCUGCAACUCGACUUCAUGAAGCCGGAAUCACUAGUAAUCGCGAAUCAGCUAUGUCGCGGUGAAUACGUUCUCGGGUCUUGUACACACCGCCCGUCAAACCACGAGAGUUGGUAAUACCAGAAGUACGUUUCCUAACCGUAAGGAAGGCGCGUCCCAAGGUAGGACUAGCGAUUGGGGUUAAGUCGUAACAAGGUAUCCGUACGGGAACGUGCGGAUGGAUCACCUCCU
RNAcentral lists this ribosomal RNA (1497 nucleotides) under Mesoplasma coleopterae. Its description in RNAcentral is "16S ribosomal RNA". It matches the Rfam family "Bacterial small subunit ribosomal RNA". The record is from RNAcentral. Lineage: Bacteria; Bacillati; Mycoplasmatota; Mollicutes; Entomoplasmatales; Entomoplasmataceae.